GCUAGCGUUGCUCGGAAUCACUGGGCGUAAAGGGUGCGUAGGCGGGUCUUUAAGUCCGGGGUGAAAUCCUGGAGCUCAACUCCAGAACUGCCUUUGAUACUGAGGAUCUUGAGUUCGGGAGAGGUGAGUGGAACUGCGAGUGUAGAGGUGAAAUUCGUAGAUAUUCGCAAGAACACCAGUGGCGAAGGCGGCUCACUGGCCCGAUACUGACGCUGAGGCACGAAAGCGUGGGGAGCAAACAGG
RNAcentral lists this ribosomal RNA (243 nucleotides) under uncultured bacterium. Its description in RNAcentral is "partial 16S ribosomal RNA". It matches the Rfam family "Bacterial small subunit ribosomal RNA", at positions 534 to 776 of the family's 1533-position model. The record is from RNAcentral.